This is a long non-coding RNA of Actinia tenebrosa (Australian red waratah sea anemone), 2504 nucleotides long. RefSeq lists it as uncharacterized. The record is from RefSeq and is a predicted model, not a curated record. Lineage: Eukaryota; Metazoa; Cnidaria; Anthozoa; Actiniaria; Actiniidae.
CUGGCAUGACAACUGGUCCCAACACUUGGGCCAGCAUUUGGUCGGUGGGAUCGAGUAUAAUGCUUCAAGGUGAUCAGCCAAGAAAUACUUUUACGUGGGAUUAUGUUACAGAGCUACUUGGUUGCCUAUGCGUAUUUGGUUUCACGCACCAGGUUCAUGUGAGGAAGUUGAAUAUUCUAGCGUCAAUGCAAGUGCGAUGGGCUGAUCCUCAGCUGUACAGGUGAAGAUGGGAAAACUACGAACACUUCUUUGCUAGAAAAGAGCAAUGGUCCGAGGAGUCGCCAGGACAGCAAUUCCAAUGACAGCCAAACCAUACUCAAGAAUCAAAACAUGUUGUGAUUUCAUAAAGACCUGGCCACGCGCCCAAACCAAUUCUCCACACAAUGGCAGUUUUGUCUGAAGCCUGUUAAAAACCAGGUACACGCUUGAAUGUAAGUCUGCUUACUCUUUCACCUGCUAAACUAAACCCUUGAGGUUUUCUAAUCCCCUAUAUGAGAUCUGGAGGCGUAGCGAUGGAGAAAGGAGAAACAAAUGGGAAAACUUUGCAGUUGAUAAUGCAUUUAAAAACCCGUUGCUAGGCGGCCGAUAAAGUCUGGUUUUUAUUUACGUCGGUGUCACCAAUCUGCAGUGGCCCUUGAGGGACAUGCAGCAAGUUGGACGAGUUGCUAGAAAUAAGAAUUGAGUUGCUGCAUGCUCUACGAAAUGCUGCAAAUAAGAAAAGAGUUGCUGUAUUUUAGAUGAAUCGCUACAAAUAAGAAACGUGACAAGUUGCUGCAAAUGAGAAACGAAUUGCUGCAUGUUAAACGAUAAGUACUGCGCGAGCAGUUUAACUGCCAUUUGGGACGGAGUUCUAGUUUAGUUUACUUUUCGACGAUUUCUCAGCUAAAACGAAGAGCAAUAUUUCUAAGCUACAAAUAGUACAGCAAGGGAUUACCUCACUUCCGGCGACGGAGUACGAAAAAAAGCUGUUUCAUUAUUAGUACUCCUACCCCUAACGCAAUAUUUUCAGUAUUGAUUUUACAUGAAGUGAAUAGUUUAAUGGUAAAAUAUUUUUAUAUGAUUUGAGCGAUGUAUCUUGGAGACAUCAAGGUUAAGACUUUUAAUAUGCUAAUGAGUGUGACAUAGGAGGCAUUUGGUUUCACUUGUCAUCAUGUGUAAAUUGAAAAACUAAUUGCUUUUAAUUUUUUUUGCAAUAACCUUUCUAUCAAUCCUUAGGCCCGAUCCAUACGUCGCGCUUUUUAUGUGCCGAACCUAAUAGUAUCUAUUUGGCACAUGAAAGGCUCGACGUAUGAAUCAAUUAAGUUCGGCACAACUGGAUUAGGUUCGACACGGUACUGAGCUCGACCGCGCCAGUCGAGCCGCACGGCAAAAGUUUGACACUGAUUCAAACGUCGAGCUCCUGUUGUGCCGAAUCAAAUGCAUAGAUUAAAAUUAGAUGAACCCGGACUUAAAAAGCAGCGGUAUUUGGUAAUGAGUAUGCGCGAUACGGUCUUUUUUGUUUUUUGUUUUUUUUUGUUUUUGUUUUUGUUUUUUUGUUUUUUGUUUUGUUUUGUUUUGAAUCUUCUGUUGGUGUACUUAGUCCAAACCGUCUCCCACCACCCGGCAUUUCUUGAGAGGCGGCGACACGAUCUCACAACGGUCCCCGAAGUGUAUUUUGUAAGGAAAGAAGCAACAGCAUUACAGCGAAACUGGCUAUAUGUCUUCUUCUGCUAACAAGUAACAGCUUAGACUGCAUGAUAUUUUGCCUUCUUGCCCUUGCAUGUCGAAUAGCACGGAGAAAAAGUAGUCUUUUUUGAUCGUCCGCCAUGUUUGUUUUGAUUUGAAUUGUUUCAAUUUACCGUAAUUCCGCUGACUGAUUUUACCGCUUACUCAUGCUCAGAGUAAUUGGCUCAACACAUUAGGUGCGACGUAUGAAUCAACGUCGAUCCUAUUGUAAUUGUGUCGACCCAAACAGGAUAUUAGGUUCGGCACAUGAAAGCGCGACGUAUGAAUCGGGCCUAAGUAAGACAAUGAUAAUGUACAGGUUUUUUUUAUUGAACCAGACAAUUUUCGUAUUUUUUUAUUAGGUAGAUCCCAACUAAUUCAUAGCGAUUAUUCAUUUUUGCUCAACUUUAUUCUUUAUAAACUAGCGCCUCAAUUUAACUGGAUUUUUCAUAUUUAACUUUAUUUUCAUAUUUUCUAAGCGUUUGGCCUGUAUAUAUUAUAUUUUAAAGCCUCAAUUUAUACAAACGGUAGUGCAUUGAAAAAGCCAACAACUCCGAGUAUAUAGAAUGCAAAUAUAGCAAUGUUUAAUUUAAUUUUUUUAGAAACUUUAGAAAAUUCGAUGCCUUUGAAACUGAUAUAGAUUGUAAAUAAAAGGUGAAAUUUUAGAUUAUGGAAAAUAGAAAAUAUCUGUCAGCUAGUUUUGGAGAAACUAUAUCAGCAUGCAGUAGCGUGGUAAAAUCCACUAUUUUUAAUUAAACACGCAAUAUUGAAUACUUGGCUAACGGUCGUGUCAAUCAUUA